Non-coding RNA from Lactarius sanguifluus, 85 nucleotides. Lineage: Eukaryota; Fungi; Basidiomycota; Agaricomycetes; Russulales; Russulaceae. The record is from the annotation of a GenBank genome assembly.
UGCCCCAUGGCUGAGUUGGUUACAGCGUCCGACUGUUAACGAUUGCGGUAUCGGAAGGUCGUGAGUUCGAGCCUCACUGGGGCAG